CCUACGGGUGGCAGCAGUGAGGAAUAUUGGUCAAUGGGCGGAAGCCUGAACCAGCCAAGUCGCGUGAGGGAAUAAGGCCCUACGGGUCGUAAACCUCUUUUGCCGGGGAGCAAGGGCGGGGACGUGUCCCGGCCCGGAGAGUACCCGGAGAAAAAGCAUCGGCUCACUACGUGCCAGCAGCCGCGGUAAUACGGAGGAUGCGCGCGGUAUCCGGAUUUAUUGGGUUUAAAGGGGGCGUAGGCGGGCUUUUAAGUCAGCGGUAAAAUUUCGGGGCUCAACCCCGACGAGCCGUUGAGACUGGCUUGCUAGAGUGGGCGAGAAGUAUGCGGAAUGCGUGGUGUAGCGGUGAAAUGCAUAGAUAUCACGCAGAACUCCGAUUGCGAAGGCAGCAUACCGGCGCCCAACUGACGCUCAGGCACGAAAGCGUGGGUAUCGAACAGGAUUAGAUACCCGAGUAGUC
Molecule: ribosomal RNA, 460 nt
Filed under: uncultured bacterium
Lineage: Bacteria
Description: partial 16S ribosomal RNA
Rfam family: Bacterial small subunit ribosomal RNA
Source: RNAcentral